Dreissena polymorpha is the source of this 1532-nucleotide long non-coding RNA. RefSeq lists it as uncharacterized. The transcript has 2 exons. Lineage: Eukaryota; Metazoa; Mollusca; Bivalvia; Myida; Dreissenidae. The record is from RefSeq and is a predicted model, not a curated record.
UACAUAUAUGACUCAAUCUUGAUUGCAGAAAGUCAGAAUGAUAGGUUUGUUUAUCAAGUUCAUAUAAGUUUAAAACCUAGGUAACCAGGUCAAAUUUAAUAACAACCACUCUUUGAUCACAUGUAUAACUCCUUUUUGUUUAAACUUUGAAUGUUUAUGGUGACGAUGUGAAGGCCAUAUUGAAAACUGGGUAAUGUGUCAAAAACUAGUUCAACUGAUCAUGUCUUCAACAAUUGGUGUUCGUAAACGCGGGCGAGUUCAAUCAAGUGAUGAAACUUGAUGAGAAUGUUGAUGUGUUUAAAUCUGAGUCAUGUGGGUCCAAAAACUAGCUCAUCCGGAAAAUUCUUAAUAAUAAUUGGUACCAUUAUUUAGGGCACGCUGGAUUCAAUCUUAAUGAACCUUGCCUGGAAUGUUUAUCUUGACAAUAUCUAGAGCGAUAUCUAAUCUGGGUCACGUUGGUUGAGAAAAGAACAAGAACAUUCGGUUUCUAAGUCAAAUCAUAAAAAAAAAUACUCAUCAAGUUAGGUUAUGUAACAUGUGAGGUCAUGCUUAUUAAUAUUGAAAAUAACGUUUACACAUUCACUCACAUAAGACUCCAAUUUUAUUCAUUAUAGUUAAACUUACAUGUGAGUAUAAUGUGUGUGUUAUUUUAAUUUAAGGUUUGAAUGGCUUUAUGCCCUAUGCGACAUAUAGCAGUCGCACUGAUCGUAUUCACAUCUGUCCGUUUUAAAAUGCAUGUCACAGCCAUAACUUUGCAAUAAAUUGAAGGAUAUAAAAAACAAACAUUGUCACAGAUGCAAUUCAUUACAACACACUGUAAUUUUGUCAUUCAUCAUUGGGACAUGACAUUUCAUGUGUAAAACAUGUGUUGCAAUUAGAGGUCGAAUUUGGUUAUAAAACAGCUUAUUUGGACUGUAACUUUAUCAUUCAUCAUUGGGACAUGACAUUUCAUGUAUUAAACAUGUGUUGCAAUUAGAGGUCGAAUUUGGUUAUAAAACAGCUUUUCCUGGCUGUACAUUUCAUUCUUCAUUUGGUUUCAAGACAUCUAACCACACAUGAAAAUCAUAAGGAGACAGUAAUGUGUGUAUCCCCUGUCUCAUUACCUCAAAGGUUUAGAUAACAAAAGAUGUCAAAAGUUAAACUUGGCAAUAUACAGCAUGUCUUUGACACACACGUUGUUUUUAGACUUAAGUGACAUUAAGCGGUAUCAUUGCCCUGUGGACACGUCUUGUCGGUCCUAUUGUUCUCUUACUAAAUUAAUAAUUUCUCUAAAGUAAAGUCUUUACUAUUUGAUGCCCCGUGAAUCAGGUGAGCGCUUAUGGGCCAUCAUGGCCUUCUCACAUUUAUUUUAAGAUUGAACUAACUAAAUAAUAAUUCAUUAUUUGCUGAGUUAUGCCUUAAGUUUAUUCUUUGAUAUGCAACCGUUUUAUUCUUCGAGGGAUAAUUUAGAGGUCAUAUGAUGUUUGACUAUGGCAUUCUAUGUUUGAAUAUGGCAUACUUAUUGAUAAUUUAAUAAACAAAUAAGCAAUGUU